RNAcentral lists this ribosomal RNA (789 nucleotides) under uncultured archaeon. Its description in RNAcentral is "bacterial SSU rRNA". It matches the Rfam family "Archaeal small subunit ribosomal RNA", at positions 85 to 879 of the family's 1478-position model. The record is from RNAcentral.
ACGGCUCAGUAACACGUGGACAACCUGCCCUUAGGUUGGGUAUAAACCCGGGAAACUGGGUAUAAUACCCGAUAGGUCUCGAUUGCUGGAAUGCAUCGAGAUUUAAAGCUCCGGCGCCUAAGGAUGGGUCUGCGGCCUAUCAGGUAGUAGUGGGUGUAGUGUACCUACUAGCCUACGACGGGUACGGGUUGUGAGAGCAAGAGCCCGGAGAUGGAUUCUGAGACACGAAUCCAGGCCCUACGGGGUGCAGCAGGCGCGAAAACUUUACAAUGCGGGAAACCGUGAUAAGGGAACUCCGAGUGUCCGUCAAUGCGGACUGUCCGUAUGUUUAAGAAGCAUGCGAAGAAAGGGCCGGGCAAGACCGGUGCCAGCCGCCGCGGUAAUACCGGCGGCUCGAGUGGUGGCCACUAUUACUGGGCUUAAAGCGUUCGUAGCUGGGUUGUUAAGUCUCUUGGGAAAUCUAUCGGCUUAACCGAUAGGCGUCCAAGGGAUACUGGCAAUCUAGGGACCGGGAGAGGUGAGGGGUACUUCAGGGGUAGGAGUGAAAUCCUGUAAUCCUUGGGGGACCACCUGUGGCGUAGGCGCCUCACCAGAACGGCUCCGACAGUGAGGGACGAAAGCUGGGGGAGCAAACCGGAUUAGAUACCCGGGUAGUCCCAGCCGUAAACGAUGCGCGUUAGGUGUAUCGAUGACCACGAGUCAUCGAGGUGCCGAAGGGAAACCGUGAAACGCGCCGCCUGGGAAGUACGGUCGCAAGGCUGAAACUUAAAGGAAUUGGCGGGGGAGCAC